GGGGAUGCGUGGUUUCGACAGGGUCGGCGACGUGAUCGCUGCGAGCCGAGGAUGUCGCUUCACACCUCGUUAAUCCGAGCGGCAGCCAGACAACUGGCAACACUUCUUACGCACUCGCUGCUUAAACAGUGAGCGUUCUCCCAGCCUCCCCUUCGUGGGCUGGGAAGAGCGAUAACAGCGAAGGUGCGGCCCGCCGAAUGUUCGGUAGGCGGGAAUAAGUCCACCGAGCUGGAGCGAUCCCUGAGCACGCCGGCGGGCGCUCGGAUCCUCGAGAAAAGAAAUCGCCGGCCACGCUCGUAGACGCGGUCACGGCAAGGGCCUUGGACGGGGAGUUCGACCCUCCCCCAUCUCCACAG
RNAcentral lists this transfer-messenger RNA (356 nucleotides) under Chloroflexota bacterium. It matches the Rfam family "transfer-messenger RNA". Rfam says of the family: Bacterial tmRNA, also known as 10Sa RNA or SsrA, is named for its dual tRNA and mRNA-like properties. Its role is to liberate the mRNA from a stalled ribosome. Lineage: Bacteria; Bacillati; Chloroflexota. The record is from RNAcentral.